CCUACGGGUGGCAGCAGUGGGGAAUAUUGCACAAUGGGGGAAACCCUGAUGCAGCGACGCCGCGUGAAGGAAGAAGUACUUCGGUAUGUAAACUUCUAUCAGCAGGGAAGAAAAUGACGGUACCUGACUAAGAAGCCCCGGCUAACUACGUGCCAGCAGCCGCGGUAAUACGUAGGGGGCAAGCGUUAUCCGGAUUUACUGGGUGUAAAGGGAGCGUAGGCGGCGGUGCAAGUCAGAAGUGAAAGCCCGGGGCUCAACUCCGGGACUGCUUUUGAAACUGUGUUGCUAGAGUGCAGGAGAGGUAAGUGGAAUUCCUAGUGUAGCGGUGAAAUGCGUAGAUAUUAGGAGGAACACCAGUGGCGAAGGCGGCUUACUGGACUGUAAAUGACGCUGAGGCUCGAAAGCGUGGGGAGCAAACAGGAUUAGAUACCCUAGUAGUC
Molecule: ribosomal RNA, 440 nt
Filed under: uncultured bacterium
Lineage: Bacteria
Description: partial 16S ribosomal RNA
Rfam family: Bacterial small subunit ribosomal RNA
Source: RNAcentral